GAACAUCGCAGGGCUUGCCCAAGGCCGCAUGGACAGCUGCAUUGGAAGGAGACUCAUCGAUGACUCUGCAUUUUGGGGCUUUAAUUUAUCUGCCAAAUAUGGAGUAAGCCCCUGGCACGUGGGAUAUUGGAGUCUCAGCAGUGUGCACAGCAGAGUCUUGUCUCCAUGGAGUUGGAGGGCGCUGACUCCCACCAACGUAAAUUCAGUGCAGAUGCAAAAUUAGCAGAGAAGAGGGCGUGGGGUGCACUGGCCAACAGCAUGAGCCAGCCCCACCUCCGAGAGUCAAGGUGAAGCUCUGAGCCUCAGGAAGAAGCUAGGGGAGGCUGCUGUGGCUGAGAGACCUUCCCAGGACAUGGUCUCUUUCCCGACGGGCCUCUGCAGUCAGCGUCCGAAGGAGAGAUGGGCCU
RNAcentral lists this long non-coding RNA (407 nucleotides) under Homo sapiens (human). RNAcentral describes it as "HSALNT0131672". Lineage: Eukaryota; Metazoa; Chordata; Mammalia; Primates; Hominidae. The record is from RNAcentral.